This 536-nucleotide ribosomal RNA is filed under the name Wickerhamomyces sp. RNAcentral's name for it is "eukaryotic LSU rRNA". It matches the Rfam family "Eukaryotic large subunit ribosomal RNA", at positions 111 to 660 of the family's 3401-position model. The record is from RNAcentral. Lineage: Eukaryota; Fungi; Ascomycota; Saccharomycetes; Phaffomycetales; Wickerhamomycetaceae.
AAAUUUGAAAUCUAGCACCUUCGGUGUUCGAGUUGUAAUUUGAAGAUGGUAACCUUGGGUUUGGCUCUUGUCUAUGUUCCUUGGAACAGGACGUCAUAGAGGGUGAGAAUCCCGUCUGAUGAGAUGCCCAUUCCUAUGUAAGGUGCUAUCGAAGAGUCGAGUUGUUUGGGAAUGCAGCUCUAAGUGGGUGGUAAAUUCCAUCUAAAGCUAAAUAUUGGCGAGAGACCGAUAGCGAACAAGUACAGUGAUGGAAAGAUGAAAAGAACUUUGAAAAGAGAGUGAAAAAGUACGUGAAAUUGUUGAAAGGGAAGGGCAUUAGAUCAGACUUGGUGUUUUACGAUUAUCUUCUCUUCUUGAGCUGUGCACUCGUAUUUCACUGGGCCAGCAUCGAUUCGGAUGGCAAGAUAAUGGCAGUUGAAUGUGGCUUCACUUCGGUGGAGUGUUAUAGCUUCUGCUGAUAUUGCCUGUCUGGAUCGAGGGCUGCGUCUUUUGACUAGGAUGCUGGCGUAAUGAUCUAAUGCCGCCCGUCUUGAAAC